Long non-coding RNA from Drosophila serrata, 763 nucleotides. RefSeq lists it as uncharacterized. NCBI's taxonomy places the organism in Eukaryota, Metazoa, Arthropoda, Insecta, Diptera, Drosophilidae. The record is from RefSeq and is a predicted model, not a curated record.
CUGUGAGCUGAAAGCGGCUGAAAGGACGAACCAGAAGGAGGAUAUUACGCCGCAAACGAACACAUACAAAAAGUAUGCGAGAGCGAGCGAAUUGUCCAGCAGACUUUGAUAAUUUCACUGGUCGGCAUACUUUUUUGUUUUGGCGCGCUGCAUGUUAGCCCCAAGUCCUGAGACUAAGUGAAUGUGAAAUGUGACAAGCCAAGUGACAGUUACGAAAAGUUGAAUCAAAAACGAAACAACGCCGAGCAGAUGAAACCAGUUGCGGAAGCAGAUGCUCGAGGAGGCCCCAGGAGACAUUUAACAUAAUAAAAAUGAACGUGUGCGGCAUUUUGGCGUUGCCUGUGCCAAGUUAACAGCAUUUCGACGCGUGUGUGUACGGGUUUGUUUAAUGCUAAUACUGCAGACACACACACCCAAGCCUGCGAACAAACAAUAUUGCCAAUGUGCGCGACGAGCAGUGGCAAAAGUGUCGUAAAUCGUUUAGACGGCACAACGUGGAGCUCCGCAAAAGGGAAGAGUGCCAAGCGAUAUGUAAACGACACAGUCGCCGUGGGAAAAACUCCAUAAACGCACGAGCACAACGAAAAAAUACCCAAGCAAAUGGAAGAAUAAACCAGAGUUGGCCAAAUACCCCCACGAAAAACUGCAUUUGUUGCUUAUAUGUGGACAUGAAGACCUCAAGGAAUUCAAACGAUUUGUUAAGAAAGCUGGAUGAUAAUUUUUAAAAGUUCUUCCCAGAAGAUUAUGCUCCCAGUCAAGACUG